RNAcentral lists this ribosomal RNA (479 nucleotides) under uncultured bacterium. Its description in RNAcentral is "partial 16S ribosomal RNA". It matches the Rfam family "Bacterial small subunit ribosomal RNA", at positions 28 to 507 of the family's 1533-position model. The record is from RNAcentral.
GAUGAACGCUAGCGGGAGGCCUAACACAUGCAAGCCGAGCGGUAGAGUUCCUUCGGGAACUUGAGAGCGGCGUUCGGGUGCGUAACACGUGUGCAACCUACCUUUAUCUGGGGGAUAGCCUUUCGAAAGGAAGAUUAAUACCCCAUAAUAUAAUGAUUGGCAUCAAUUAUUAUUGAAAACUCCGGUGGAUAGAGAUGGGCACGCGCAAGAUUAGAUAGUUGGUGAGGUAACGGCUCACCAAGUCAAUGAUCUUUAGGGGUCCUGAGAGGGAGAUCCCCCACACUGGUACUGAGACACGGACCAGACUCCUACGGGAGGCAGCAGUGAGGAAUAUUGGACAAUGGGUGAAAGCCUGAUCCAGCCAUCCCGCGUGAAGGAUGACGGUCCUAUGGAUUGUAAACUUCUUUUGUACAGGGAUAAACCUACUCUCGUGAGGGUAGCUGAAGGUACUGUACGAAUAAGCACCGGCUAACUCCGUG